AUUGCUUGGGCCGAGUUAAGUAAACGAUUGCUUCCAAUCACAUGUAUUUGGUCUCAUCAGGGAUUGCAUUACGACAAAUAGACUAAGAGACCUUUCCAAACUUCAUGUGUUAAGCAAAUCUUUCUUUUUCAAAAAAACGGCUUUUUAAGAGACUAGAAUAGAUAGAGACGGCCCAAUAACCUAGGAAGUAGGCUGUCGUGAUAGAACUUCAGUAGAUUCUAUCUUUAUUAGAAUAUUUUUAUUCAAUGUCAUGAUCGAAGACCAUCUUCUAUAUAUGAAAUAUAUGCGAGACUAAAGAUGACCCAAAAAACAAGAAAGUGGGGGGUGUGACCUUCCUUCAGUGACUAUCCAUUCAUCGACUGCCAAAAGAGAGAAGGCAGUCGCAUCACACUCUAUAUCUUACCUCGGGGCCCAGAGUCAUUUCCCUCGCCUUAAGAUUAAAAGCCCUUUAUAAUGU
This 457-nucleotide unclassified non-coding RNA is filed under the name Hevea brasiliensis (rubber tree). The record is from RNAcentral. Lineage: Eukaryota; Viridiplantae; Streptophyta; Magnoliopsida; Malpighiales; Euphorbiaceae.